Molecule: ribosomal RNA, 491 nt
Filed under: uncultured bacterium
Lineage: Bacteria
Description: partial 16S ribosomal RNA
Rfam family: Bacterial small subunit ribosomal RNA
Source: RNAcentral
AGUGAACGCUGGCGGUAGGCCUAACACAUGCAAGUCGAACGGCAGCACAGUAAGAGCUUGCUCUUACGGGUGGCGAGUGGCGGACGGGUGAGGAAUACAUCGGAAUCUACUUUUUCGUGGGGGAUAACGUAGGGAAACUUACGCUAAUACCGCAUACGACCUACGGGUGAAAGCAGGGGAUCUUCGGACCUUGCGCGAUUGAAUGAGCCGAUGUCGGAUUAGCUAGUUGGCGGGGUAAAGGCCCACCAAGGCGACGAUCCGUGGCUGGUCUGAGAGGAUGAUCAGCCACACUGGAACUGAGACACGGUCCAGACUCCUACGGGAGGCAGCAGUGGGGAAUAUUGGACAAUGGGCGCAAGCCUGAUCCAGCCAUACCGCGUGGGUGAAGAAGGCCUUCGGGUUGUAAAGCCCUUUUGUUGGGAAAGAAAAGCAGCAGGUUAAGACCCCGCUGUUCUGACGGUACCCAAAGAAUAAGCACCGGCUAACUUCGU